GUAGCUUGCUACUUUGCCGGCGAGCGGCGGACGGGUGAGUAAUGUCUGGGAAACUGCCUGAUGGAGGGGGAUAACUACUGGAAACGGUAGCUAAUACCGCAUGACCUCGAAAGAGCAAAGUGGGGGAUCUUCGGACCUCACGCCAUCGGAUGUGCCCAGAUGGGAUUAGCUAGUAGGUGAGGUAAUGGCUCACCUAGGCGACGAUCCCUAGCUGGUCUGAGAGGAUGACCAGCCACACUGGAACUGAGACACGGUCCAGACUCCUACGGGAGGCAGCAGUGGGGAAUAUUGCACAAUGGGCGCAAGCCUGAUGCAGCCAUGCCGCGUGUGUGAAGAAGGCCUUAGGGUUGUAAAGCACUUUCAGCGAGGAGGAAGGCAUCAUACUUAAUACGUGUGGUGAUUGACGUUACUCGCAGAAGAAGCACCGGCUAACUCCGUGCCAGCAGCCGCGGUAAUACGGAGGGUGCAAGCGUUAAUCGGAAUUACUGGGCGUAAAGCGCACGCAGGCGGUUUGUUAAGUCAGAUGUGAAAUCCCCGCGCUUAACGUGGGAACUGCAUUUGAAACUGGCAAGCUAGAGUCUUGUAGAGGGGGGUAGAAUUCCAGGUGUAGCGGUGAAAUGCGUAGAGAUCUGGAGGAAUACCGGUGGCGAAGGCGGCCCCCUGGACAAAGACUGACGCUCAGGUGCGAAAGCG
Molecule: ribosomal RNA, 693 nt
Filed under: Enterobacteriaceae bacterium B2555_1
Lineage: Bacteria; Pseudomonadati; Pseudomonadota; Gammaproteobacteria; Enterobacterales; Enterobacteriaceae
Description: bacterial SSU rRNA
Rfam family: Bacterial small subunit ribosomal RNA
Source: RNAcentral